RNAcentral lists this unclassified non-coding RNA (243 nucleotides) under Hevea brasiliensis (rubber tree). The record is from RNAcentral. Lineage: Eukaryota; Viridiplantae; Streptophyta; Magnoliopsida; Malpighiales; Euphorbiaceae.
GAGACGUUGUCGCCUUCACUUCGCAAGUCAAGGACAUCCCAAAGUUUACUAGUCACGAUGCAGUGGACUUCACUCGCACUCGCGCUUCUUGCGCAAAAUGCCGCCGCCCAGAACAUGCUUCGAUUUGCANUCACAGCUGGUUGUCGACCGUGUUGACCCUCUUGUUAAUCCCGGAAUGACUUACACACCGCAUCUUCACCAGAUUGUUGGAGGUAACUCCUUCAACGUCACCAUGGACCCGGC